UCCAUACUAUAAUCUUGAAACUGAUGUUGGUGGAUUCUAUUUCUCAUCUUCUUGGAAAACAGUGUAGCAUAGGAAUGUUGAAAUUUGAUGGAAGGUGGAAUAAGAGAAUAAUCAUAGCAAUGAUGAGAAAAUAUUCUGUGGGAAUCAGAGACGUAUAUAUGUAUUCACAUUCAAGUUUAAAUCCAUGUUGUGGGGACACAGAUUGACAGCCAAGCCAAGCUGGAAAGAUGAGAAUGCACAUAAGUGUUUGUUAAUUUGCCAGAGAGAUUUUAGCAUCUCAAUUUUCUCCAGUGUCAGUGUGUUGACAAAACUGCCCAGAAUCUGGCCCAUUUGCUUCUUACAUUCACAAACAUCACCAAAUGUGAGGGGAAAAAGGGUGUCUGUAGAAAGGGAGUUUUCAUGGGCCACCUCUCAAAUAAAGGAAAUUAAUAUAAAUAGUUGUAAUCACUGUGCUUUGCGAUUUGAUUCUUUCCACUUAUUAACAGAAUUUCAGAGCUCACUGACACGUGGACAGACUCGAGGUUAGACUUGAAAAGGGAAAUUGAGGAUUCUUGCUUUAGCUGAGAGAUAUCAGAGCAGAGAAGAGUGUUUGAAGAGCAAUUGGCCUCAAUUCUUAGCUGGGUGGUCUUAUAAUUUUGGGUGAUGGUCUUCUGAUAAUGGAUGAAAAGGGAAUGUCAGGUUCCAUCACUGUGGGAUCCGAGGAUAGUAUCGAUACAUUGUAUCCAAUGUUGUUUGGUGUUUCUUGUGCAUUUUUCGCUCUAAGACUGCUGCCGGAGCAGCCUGAAUUAUGUGAUGAUAUGUGGUCACAAGUCACAGCUAGAAUGCUUCAAGGGAGUAGUCAUCUUCUAGGGUUACUCGUGUGGAGGGUUCAGAGGGACGAGGCGAAAAGUAGAAACACCGAGCUUCUGAAGAAGCUCGAGGAUGCGGAGAAACAGGUCCAAGAAUUGAAGAAGAGAAGAAGCGAGGACGCAAGGGCCAACGAGAAAGUCGUGAGGAUAGUCGCCACUCGGGAGCAGAGCUGGUCUGACGAGAGAAAGAAGCUCAGGCAGCAAAUCGGGGGCCUUAUGAAUGAUCUGAGAGUUGUGAAGAUGAAGAGUGAGAGAUCGAUUGCUGAGCUGAAUCAAAAACUGAAGGAAAAUGAAGCUAUUAUGCAUUUGAAGGACAAAUCAAUUGAGGAAGUGGAGCUCAAGAGAGUGGAAAUCGAUGAGAAAGUGAACAAGGCUGAGAAUCUUCUGAAAGAGAUGAGAGAGAACGCACAGCGUGAAGCUCAACGCCAUGCCAGUGAAACCUUGAAGCAUAAGACGGCCUUCAUUGAGCUCGUAUCUAGCCAGCGACAGCUUGAAGCAGAGAUGAGUCGGGCUGUUAGGCAGGUCGAGGUAGCAAAGCAAGAGCUUGAUUCGGUUUUGGAUCAGAAAGAGCAGGCUGUCUUGAUGACACAAAAGUUAUCCAUGGAACUUGUUAAAACGCGUAAAGAUUUGGACCAGAAAGACCAGAUUUUGUCGGCUAUGCUGAGAAAAUCCAAAGUAGAUACAGCCGAGCUUUUGAAGGAAGUAAAAUCAUCUAAGGCCAAGAGACAGCAAACCGAGGUAGAAACAGCAGGGUGGAAGGCAGUUUCUGAGACGAAACAUGAUAGACAUUCACUAAGGAAUAUAUUGUCCAAGCAUGUGAGUGUAAAGUCGGAUAUAUUCUCAGGUGGAAAAGGUGGGCAUUUAAAAGCUAUGGCGUCGCUGGAUGCUGGAAACCCCAGAGCAGCCGAAACUGAUUAUCGCGAGUUUGAGCAACCGCAAGCUUUUAAACUUAUAAAUGAUCCAUAUUUGAUUGCACGAACUGGUGAACCACAUUUGAUAGCUGAUGUCGAGGGCUUGGAGAACUGGACCAACUCGGAGGCAGCGACAUACGAGUUUGCACUUCAGCAAAGGCAUAACCUUGAAAUAGAUGCUUUUGUGGAUCAACUGAGGCUCAAGGAUGAAAGGUUAGAAGCUUUUCGUUGGCGUUUGUUAAGCAUGGAAAUAGAGUCUAAGAGGUUGCAUUCACACAUCGAAACGAUCGAUCAUGAGAUUACACAGCUGAGGAAGGAGAAUAUGAGGCUGGAAGCUCUACUGUUGGACCGCGAGACAGAGUUACAUUCAUUGAAAGAGCAGCUACUGAUGCAGUUCAAUCCUCCAAAUCUCCAGAAGUUGAAUUUUGAAUCCUCUCUACACGAGGCGACCAUGAACCAUAAUACGGUAUGGUCAAGAGUCAAGGUCGUCAAAAGGAAACCAGGACAGAGAAGGAAAGAAAUGAAUGUUACAGAAGAAGAAACUCCUCAAGCAGCCGAGGUGUGUGAACUUCCAUCUGAUGAGCAGCUCAAGGAUAUAGUUUUGACGCUUAAAUAUCCUCAUAAGGAGAUACAAGAUUGGAAAGUUGCAUCCCUGGAACAAGAUCAUUGUAGGCAGGGAAGUUUUGGUUCAGAUGAUGCUGCAAAUGUCGAAACAACGACAUCAGCGGGCCAAGGAUCAAGUAAAAAAAGUAACUCUACAUUGAAAUUGGAUAUUCAUGCUCUUGGAGUCUCAUACAAGAUCAAGAGACUUAAGCAGCAAUUUCUAAUGCUUGAGAGGUUGAUGGGGAAGCAAGAAAACAGCGAAGUGGAUAUUGCAACGAAGGGAUUGUAUGCCCUUACAACCCUCCUGAAUAAGCAAGUUGAUCGAUACCAGUCUCUUCAGGGGAAAAUUGACGAUCUCUGUCAAAGAAUGGAUGAGAAAAACCUGAACCUGAGCUGCAGAGGCAAUGCAAUUGCUAGAACAGAUGACGAAACCAAAAGGCUGGAGCACUUUCUUGAAGAAACCUUUCAAUUACAGAGAUAUAUAGUCGCGACAGGACAAAAAUUAAUGGAAGUUCAAGCUAAGAUUGCCUCUGGAUUUAUUGAUUUUGCAGAAAAGAUUGAUCAGCCUGAGAGCUUUGACAUGAAACGAUUUGCUGAUAGUAUCAGAACACUCUUCAGAGAAGUUCAGAGGGGCCUUGAAGUCCGAAUAUCUCGGAUUAUUGGGGAUCUUGAGGGAACCCUGGCAUGUGAUGAUUGACAUUUGACUAUUCUAUCCACUGUGUUACUGAUACAACUACUGGUUUGAUCUCGGAGAAGCCCAACAUCACAAAGGAAGAUGCGGCCCAAUCCAGAGAAGGCCCCAUUACUGAUCAAAGGCCCAUUCGCAACAAGAAGAUACCAGAGCGCUUUCGAGACUUUGUCUUGGAGCAGACGAAGGAGCACCUAGCUUAGGGGACCACUUUUCUGUUAGGAUUAUCUUUCUGUUAUGCUUUCUGCAUGGUUUGUGUAGUGCCACUUUUGACAAGCACUCUUUAAAUAGCUGAGGAGAUGUACGUUGGUAAAGAAGGAAUGAAGUAGUCGUUUCUGAAUUUCCUUCCCUUCCUCUUAUUUGGAGUUUUGGCUCACUCGAAGUAGUCUAAUAUCUUAUCAGUUACUAGGGGAUGGUAAACUAUCCUAGCUAGGUUGUUUCUUGAUAAUGUUAAGUUUUUCAUUUUAAUAUAUGUUCCAUUUUCUCGUUUCUGUUGGUCCCUUCUCUUCCAUGUCUUUCAGGACUAUAAACAGGCAAAUCAGUGGAACAUAAUCAAGCAAAUAGAGAAGAAACUGUGUACCUGCUAGGGUCGCUGCACCAGUAGGAUGAUACGCAUGAUCAAAUUGUGGCUGUAAACACCAUCAAAAUCCAAGUUAGAUCUAACGACCUAUGGAUCGAUCAUGAUUGAAGUUGAGUGUUGCAUGCUGUAAAUCACUUGAACUGGGCUCCCUCCCUAUCUCUAGGUAAAAUCAAAUGGCCUGGUAAGUAAAGUCUUGCUUUGGGGUUACUGCAAAUGAUAUUUACCAUAGAUUAAUGAUCUAUGGAAAAAAGCAGGUUGUUUGUAUGAUGUGACAUGCUUUGGUUAUGAAUGAAGAUGGUAUAUGGAUUCAAAUGUGAA
Salvia miltiorrhiza (redroot sage) is the source of this 3948-nucleotide RNA transcript. It is a transcript of the gene named putative WEB family protein At1g65010, chloroplastic, with no coding region annotated. The transcript has 6 exons. The record is from RefSeq and is a predicted model, not a curated record. Lineage: Eukaryota; Viridiplantae; Streptophyta; Magnoliopsida; Lamiales; Lamiaceae.